UACGUAGGUGGCGAGCGUUGUCCGGAAUUACUGGGUGUAAAGGGAGCGUAGGCGGGGGAUCAAGUUGAAUGUUUAAACUAUCGGCUCAACCGAUAAUCGCGUUCAAAACUGAUUUUCUUGAGUGAAGUAGAGGCAGGCGGAAUUCCUAGUGUAGCGGUGAAAUGCGUAGAUAUUAGGAGGAACACCAGUGGCGAAGGCGGCCUGCUGGGCUUUAACUGACGCUGAAGCUCGAAAGCGUGGGGAGCAAACA
Molecule: ribosomal RNA, 250 nt
Filed under: uncultured bacterium
Lineage: Bacteria
Description: partial 16S ribosomal RNA
Rfam family: Bacterial small subunit ribosomal RNA
Source: RNAcentral